GACGAACGCUGGCGGCGUGCUUAGCACAUGCAAGUCGAACGGAAAGGCCCUGCUUUUGUGGGGUGCUCGAGUGGCGAACGGGUGAGUAACACGUGAGUAACCUGCCCUUGACUUUGGGAUAACUUCAGGAAACUGGGGCUAAUACCGGAUAGGAGCUCCUGCUGCAUGGUGGGGGUUGGAAAGUUUCGGCGGUUGGGGAUGGACUCGCGGCUUAUCAGCUUGUUGGUGGGGUAGUGGCUUACCAAGGCUUUGACGGGCAGCCGGCCUGAGAGGGUGACCGGCCACAUUGGGACUGAGAUACGGCCCAGACUCCUACGGGAGGCAGCAGUGGGGAAUAUUGCACAAUGGGCGGAAGCCUGAUGCAGCAACGCCGCGUGCGGGAUGACGGCCUUCGGGUUGUAAACCGCUUUCGCCUGUGACGAAGCGUGAGUGACGGUAAUGGGUAAAGAAGCACCGGCUAACUACGUG
RNAcentral lists this ribosomal RNA (468 nucleotides) under uncultured bacterium. Its description in RNAcentral is "partial 16S ribosomal RNA". It matches the Rfam family "Bacterial small subunit ribosomal RNA", at positions 28 to 507 of the family's 1533-position model. The record is from RNAcentral.